AUGCCGCCGUGCACGGAGCAGGAGCAGAGGCCACGCGGGAGUCUGGUGUCCGGGUGGAUGCGGGGCGCGCCCCAGCUCGGAGGCGCCGACUCCCUCCCCCGCCUUGCUCACACCGUGCCUCAGUUUCCCCAUCAGUGCAGCGGACAAGACAAUGCCGAGGUCCCAGGCGGGCGGCGGGAUCUAAUUAGUGGGUGUAAAAUGAGCGGGAUCUGGCUUCUCCCGGGCACCCCGCAGCCUGCCCCGCUCUUGGUGGCUAAAGGCAGGGAGCCCCUGAGUCCAGCGCGGCUGGGGGGUCUCAGCAGUUCUGGCCGGGCCCCCUCCCGCCUUUGUGGUCCGGCCUCCGACCCCUGCACCGCAGGCGGCCCCCACGGAACGCGCGACGGGUCCCCGACCUCCCGCUGCGGACACCGGUCCCGCCGCCCGGCCCUUCCCCGCCUCCCGCGCCUCUGCCCCCGGGGAGCUCCGGACAGACCCGCCUGGGCAGCCUCGACCUCGGCCGCAGAGCGCAGCCUCGGGCCUCCACGGGCCACGCGCGCCCCAUUCCGGGCUCUCCCACGUCUGCACUCUCCAGCCCAGCCACGCCGAGGCUUCCAGAACCUGCCCUGCGGCCCCGCUUUGCUGACACCCCACCCACCGCGUGGGCUCAUCCUCACCCAACCCUGGCGGGGCCUGGGGUCCGUGCGAAGCGGCUCAGGAGAGAGACCCUGGCCCCUACUUACAGGGAAAACGGCUCCAUCCUCUUGGUGCUUCCUGCCCGCAGCGUCUCCAGCCUCGGGGUGCUGCGGCCCAGGCUCAGCUCGGUUCUCUCCAGCUUUGCCCGUCUGGCAGGUGCGGAGCAGGGGCGCGCUUAUGUUAGGUCAUCUCCCCACAACUCCCCUGGAAGAAAACGCCACCCCCAUCCCUUUCACUCUCUGCUAUACAUGGUGCCACUAUGCGCUGCCCUGUGGGUUGUGGGGCUCGCCCCCUCCGCACCCUAGUGCCCGCCCUCCCCAGUGCAGCCCAAGGAGGGCGCGCAGCUCACUUUGGGAAGCAGGUGGCUGUUAA
Molecule: long non-coding RNA, 1044 nt
Filed under: Papio anubis (olive baboon)
Lineage: Eukaryota; Metazoa; Chordata; Mammalia; Primates; Cercopithecidae
Description: lncRNA (ENSPANG00000046298.1)
Source: RNAcentral